This is a long non-coding RNA of Liolophura sinensis, 857 nucleotides long. RefSeq lists it as uncharacterized. The transcript is spliced from 3 exons. The record is from RefSeq and is a predicted model, not a curated record. NCBI's taxonomy places the organism in Eukaryota, Metazoa, Mollusca, Polyplacophora, Chitonida, Chitonidae.
CAAAAGUGCUGUCUGCAAGGUUCAUCGAGUUUAAUUAAUACGUUGGUGUCACUUGAAACUUUGACAUGAUCUCCUUUGAAGAUCAUUGCCUAAACUGUUAAAGUUUCGUGAUUGUGGUACCCAUUGUGAAUCAUUGAGGGGGUUUAAGUCAGUCAGUGGCAACAUCCCAGUGCAUUGAAUACCAAGGUGUUAUGUAUUUUGCCAGUUGUUGAGUUGUCUUGGAAAUAUGAGUCUGUGUGAACAAGAUUCACGUGCAGCCAUGAGUAUGACUCAUUGUGAGAUAACAGAUAUAAACCUUUGUGGUUUUGAUGAGACAUUUGGGUGUUGAAGAGUAGUCCAUUUUGCCAGAGCUUGAGUUGUGGUCGUCUUGUCAGAGGUCUGCAGUUGUUCCCACCUGGCCUAAACGAUGUCAGCAACUCUUACCCUGACAAAUGCUCAGGAACCAACCCCUUCUCUGUGAGUAUAUUAAAACUACCUGUGUGUUUCAGAAAUUACUUUAAGAUUUAUAAUGCAGGAAGCCAGAAAUUGAUCAGAAAUAUUCACAUUACUUAUCACUUUUGCCCGGUUUCCUCCCACCAUAUUGCUGGCCACUGUCACAUAAGUGAAAUAUUCUUGAGUACAACGUAAAACACCAAUCAAAUAAACAAACCGACUGCCUUGUCUAUUUUCCUAUUACUCUGCCUUGUCUAUUUCCCUAUUAUGUUGUCUAUUUCUCUAGUAACGGAUAACAAACCAAAUAGCAGCACUUUUCAUGUGUGGCCAAUAUAUAAGAUAAUUUAAAUCGUUUCACAUGAAGCUGUAGCUCACGAAUAGUGCAUGCAUUAUGUCUAGCUAGUCUAGGAUGAAAAGCUAGUCUA